Limulus polyphemus (Atlantic horseshoe crab) is the source of this 533-nucleotide long non-coding RNA. RefSeq lists it as uncharacterized. The record is from RefSeq and is a predicted model, not a curated record. NCBI's taxonomy places the organism in Eukaryota, Metazoa, Arthropoda, Merostomata, Xiphosura, Limulidae. The transcript is spliced from 2 exons.
AACAAAGCUAUAGGUUUAGUAUAUACACACGUUACUAUAUAAACAAAGCUAAAGGUUUAGUAUAUACACACGUGACUAUAUAAACAAAGCUAUAGGUUUAGUAUAUACACACGUUACUAUAUAAACAAAGCUAAAGGUUUAGUAUAUACACACGUUACUAUAUAAACAAAGCUAUAGGUUUAGUAUAUACACACGUUACUAUAACAACAAAGCUAUAGGUUUAGUAUAUACACACGUUACUAUAUAAACAAAGCUAUAGGUUUAGUAUAAUCACACGUGACUACAGAGACAAAGCUAUAUGUUUAGUAUAUACACACGUUACUAUAUAAACAAAGCUAAAGGUUUAGUUUAUACACACGUGACUAUAUAAAUACAGCUAUAGGUUUAGUAUAAACACACGUGACUAUAUAAACAAAGCUAAAGGUUUAGUAUAUACACACAUGACUAUAUAAACAAAGCUAUAGGUUUAGUAUAUACACACGUGACUAUAUAAACAAAGCUAUGAGUUUAAUAUAAUCACACGCUACUAUAUA